RNAcentral lists this ribosomal RNA (600 nucleotides) under Spirocyrtis aff. scalaris. RNAcentral describes it as "partial large subunit ribosomal RNA". It matches the Rfam family "Eukaryotic large subunit ribosomal RNA", at positions 87 to 801 of the family's 3401-position model. The record is from RNAcentral. Lineage: Eukaryota; Polycystinea; Nassellaria; Artostrobiidae.
CGGCGAGUGAAGCGGCAUCAGCUUAAUCGAUAAUCCACGGUCCUUCUGGGCCUGGAAUUGUAGUCUUGUGGGUUGAACGGCGCUGAUCGGCGGCCAAUUCGAUGGAAAUCGAGGUCACAGAGGGUGAUAGCCCCGUAUGUCUGCCGGGUCGGCGUCGUAGUUUAACCUACUAUCGAGUAGCGUUCCUUGGGAUUGGAGCGUGAAGCGGGUGGUGAUAUCCAUCUAAAGCUAAAUAUUGGCGAGAGACCGAUAGCGAACAAGUACCGUGAGGGAAAGAUGAAAAGCACUUUGGAGAGAGAGUUAAAUAGUAUGUGAAAUCGUUGGAAGCAAGCGAAUCAGUGUGCUUGGGCGCGGUCCUGCGUUUCGGGUGCUCGUCUCUGCGUGUGGUCCCUCGGGAUCGCCGCUCUGGCUGCCAGCGCCCGGUCGCGGGAUGAGGUUUUGGCGUCUUUACGCAUUCUGAUCCGACCCGUCUUGAAACACGGACCAAGGAGUCUAAUAUGUGUGCGAGUACUCGGGUGACAAACCCCUGUGCGCAGGCAACUCAAAUCGCGUUAGUCUUUUUGACGCAUCGCGGGUAGUGUUUUAUUCCCUAACAAGAGC